Molecule: ribosomal RNA, 253 nt
Filed under: uncultured bacterium
Lineage: Bacteria
Description: partial 16S ribosomal RNA
Rfam family: Bacterial small subunit ribosomal RNA
Source: RNAcentral
UACGUAGGGUGCAAGCGUUAAUCGGAAUUACUGGGUGUAAAGGGUUCGUAGGCGGUGUGGCAAGUCGGGAGUGAAAUCUCUGGGCUCAACUCAGAGACUGCUUCCGAAACUGCUGUGCUGGAGUGUGGGAGAGGCGCGUGGAAUUGCAGGUGUAGCGGUGAAAUGCGUAGAUAUCUGCAGGAACACCCGUGGCGAAAGCGGCGCGCUGGACCACUACUGACGCUGAGGAACGAAAGCUAGGGGAGCAAACAGG